AUUAUAUAUAUUGCUUACAAAAUUGUGUAUUAAUGUUAUUAAUAUCGAUGAUCAUCAGCAUUUUAACACAGUAUGGAUUUAUAUAAUGACUUUUAGGCCACGUGUCUGCGGAUAAGACUCCGAAGAAAGCGUGAAAUCUUUAUUGAAGUUACUGAAAAGCUCACUGCGAGACGGAGGUUCCCUUCAUGCCGACGGUAUGACUAGAGCCUUCUCCGGCGCCAUUUCCGGCAAUGGCAGUGGCCCGGAUACGACUGCUCUCGAUGCAGCGAUAAGAAUAAUUGAGAACAUCCUGGCCACUGGCGACACGAAUAAACAUCUCGUGGAAACCCUCAAGAAAUUGAUCAACUUCCGAGACGUCGUGAAGAAUAGACAGCAGCGCAACGGAAGUCGGGCGAACGCGGCUCUGAAUUCAGAACGAGUCUGAAUGGAAAAUGAGAGGUCACUAGCACAAGGCCAAAAAUCGGAACCGGCUGUUGCUGUGCGCGACUUCCAUAACAAGAACUGCUUCAAGCUUGGAAAGAUCUGCGGCUUCUACCGAGACUCCUGCUGCGCGCGCGAUACGGAAUACGGUUCAAACGCGCCGCUCUGCUGCAUCAGGCUUUCCGGCGGCGGAAAUUUCCUCCUGAGUGACCGUUACGGGUACUGCGUGCCGAACUACGAAUCUUACGCGUGCGAACAGAUGCAGAUGAUGUACAAACUUUGGCAGCGUUAGGCGUCAUUUGCACCGGAAAUAACGCAAUUUUUACGUGUAGGCGCCUGCUAGCGCGGUCUGCUUUUUCUUGUCGAAAGCUUGUUUGACAGCUCUUGAAACGUUGUGCUUCACAUGUGUUUUUUUUGUGGGGGUAUUUCAAGAAGUAUACUCCAUAUGAUCUGUGUUCACUAAGUAUCAAUUGUAGAACGCUAAUAAUGAUUUUGUUGUUCGAAUUAUUAUUAAAAUUAAUUUUUAUUAUUAUAAAUGUAAAAUCGUAAUUAUUCUGUGACAUGAACAGGUUCUGUAAAAGUGUGAUAAACCUGUGACAUGAACAAGUUCUUUAAACUCUUUUUGCAUUAAUUUCGUGGGUUUACCGAUCCUCAAAUGUAAGAUCGCAACAAUAAGAUGUUGUUAAUGGAUGUUGUGUUUUUUUUAUGUGCUUUAUGUUGUUUUUAUUAAGGGGGGGGGGGGUUCCGGUGGAAGGCGGGUUGAUUAUAAUUCACUGAGUUUAAGCGUCCAUAAUUGUUGUUUAACCACGAAAUUUAAUUCUGACAAAUAUCCAGUGUAAAUGUGUUCACAGUAUGUGCAGUUUGUCUAAAAUUGCGUGUGUUCUGUGGAUAUUGCUCAAUACAUUCCUAUUUGAAUUGUAGUUUAGAAAUGUUGUCCUUCUGAGGUGACAACGUACAAUGUACACAGUUGAGCCUCGCUCUUGGAAAACGGGGCUUAACGCGUGCACGAAAAGUAUCGUAAAGAUUAGUCUGUUCAAACUGCACUUAUCAGUGACGACACUGUCCGCUGUAAAAUACAUAUACAGUCUUAAUAUUCCCCCUGAACUCUGGGUAACAAUAAUAAUUUAUAUCUCAAUAACAAAAUAGUUCACGGACCGAACAGCGCUUCAUUAGAGACUUGCAUCUACUAGAAAUGUUAUAUAAUUAUUCAAGCAUUUUCACUAUUUAUUAUGCUUUAUGUUCCUGAUCUUUGUUCGCGGCCCUUACGAAUUAGAAAGUAAAUACAACACAACUCCUUUCACGGUUUUCAAAGAACUCUAAUUUACUUAAGUUACAGUUACAUGUACUGUCAAUAGUGUAUGAUGCAAAUAUAAAGUGAAAUUGAAAUUUCAAGUUGUUGCAAGUAUCUGUAUUAUAGCGUCAUGGUACGAGCAUGACACUUACAAUUUAAAACAAUCUUAGUUUGAUUGCGUAUUCCACUCAGGCAUAAUAAUCAGAUACUGCUUAAACGUCGAACAAUACAAAGACUGCAACCAGUAAUUAACACUUGAUCAAUUGUUCACGCGCAAUUCGAAAUAAGACAACAUUCUAUAAUUUAGUCAAACAGUCUGUUUACCAAACUAUUAGCGUUUACGAUAUCUAGUCCGUGUUUAUUAAGUGAACCGUCCUAAAACAAAGUCAACUUAAAUACAUGAAUAUCGGUGUCAGUUGCAUACAUACCCCAUACCGCCGUCAUAUGAUUAAAUCGGGAUGUUCUAAAUAUAUGAUAAAUGCAGAUAAUAACUGUUAACAUCAAAUAUCGGUAAGUCUAUGAACACGUCGAGGACGAAUGGUAGUUCAUACAUCUGUUAGAUGUUUUGCUUCUUAGUCAAACAAAUUGUAUUAAGUUCGUCUGCAUUUCAUCGAUUAAAUGAGAACUUGUAAGCGGUAUAUAAGCUGAAACAAAACUAUCACUGACUGGCAAUAGGCAUCUAGCCAUGGAUAAAUUGCUACAUGCCUUACAACUAGUUUAUCCGUCUAGCCAAAAUGUACUUCGAUAGUUUGAUAUUGAGUAAAUGUAAUAGCCCGUGUUCACAUUUUGUCACAAUCAUAUACUAUACGCAUUUGUAUUGCAACCUUUCUAACAACUUUCAAUUGAGUACAUGCUAUAAUUGCAUGCAUUUUACCGGUCUUCAAAUCAUGUAACUGUAUAGCAAGUCAAAAUGGGGGAAAUACAUCGUAUAUAAGGUCACCAGAGGAUGGCCGGUCAAUAUGUGUAUUAAAUUACAAAGUCCAAACGGCUGAAUGUCGUUUAUCGAGCUGACAAUUCAUACAUAAUAUCACAAGGUAGACGCAUGAUGAUUUAAAUUACAAAGUCCAAACGGCUGAAUGUCGUUUAUCGAGCUGACUAUUCAUACAUAAUAUCACAAGGUAGGGGCAUGAUGAUGCCAUUUUGCUAUCACCUAUAUGCGUAGCUAUCGUCUUUGCCCUUAAUUUAUAAUAUGUGUGCUUGUAAGUGUGCAUGCUAUACUCAAAUGGAAUUCGAUUGAUAUCACAUAUACAAUCAUAUGAUUUAAUUACGAUUAAUAAUUAGCGUGCGCGCAUGCGCUUGUAGACAGGCUUUUGACAUGUAUGCUAAGUUUAAAUACUACUCAAAACCAAAAACCGGAAGAAUUCGUUGACUCUGUUAAACAUCUUUAGAUGAAAUAAAGGUUAUGGACAAAAAAUUGUUAUCAAUAUAAAAUAUGAUAUGCAAAAGCAGAGCAAUAAUUAUGAAAAUAACGCGUUUGUCUAUAGCAUGCAAGACAUUUUUAAUCAAUGGCGCUGAGGUCAUUAUAUCAAUAUACGCUCUGUCGUAAUGUGAUCAUGUUGAACAUGUUUCUUGUUGUUCAUUUCAAAACCCAAUUUCAAAACUCUUCAAGUUGGAAUGCAAAUAAGUAUUUGGAAAAACAAUUGUUACGCUGAUGUUAUAUUUCAGUCCUUUUAUAUAUGCAUAUUCAAUAUAAACAUGUCUCUUUGCACGUACACAUUUUAUAUCGACCGAUAAAAUGCUCUUGUAAAUAUCAAAAGAGUAUCGCGUGAUAGAGAUUGUGUCUCCACCUUAAAGCGGUAGAUACAUUUCUGCAAACUGUAGCCUCUGUCAAGGGGAAAACAUUUUAAAUUAGACUUUUUACAAAGUUCAUUUCUAAAGAUCUUUAUUACAGCAACACUGCACAUAUACAUUUUUAAGGCAGGAUUCUAUUUAUAUUAUACAUAGCGAGGGUUGGACAUAUAAAUAAGUGAUUAUUUUGUAAUAAUGUAUUGUUUGUUGACACAUUGAUUUUAAUGUACUUAUUGCUCCGUCGUAGCAAUUUUGUUUUGAUUGAAGGUUCAUAUCUUAAAAAAUACACUGACGUGAAUUGAUUUCCCCAGUUUAUUUCAUUGUGUUCCGUCUGUUUUAUUUGUAGGGUUUGGUCGCGUGUUUUGCACGGUUUGGCAAAUUGAUUUUUUGAUUGUAUAUGUUUUCUUUCCUGCUGGUGCUGGUAAACUUUAAUUUUAUUAAAAAUUUAUGUAUU
Molecule: long non-coding RNA, 3953 nt
Organism: Dreissena polymorpha
Lineage: Eukaryota; Metazoa; Mollusca; Bivalvia; Myida; Dreissenidae
Exons: 3
Source: RefSeq, a predicted model, not a curated record